Molecule: ribosomal RNA, 379 nt
Filed under: uncultured bacterium
Lineage: Bacteria
Description: bacterial SSU rRNA
Rfam family: Bacterial small subunit ribosomal RNA
Source: RNAcentral
UAACACGUAGGGGGCGAGCGUUGUCCGGAUUUAUUGGGCGUAAAGAGCUCGUAGGCGGUUUCGUUAGUCGGGUGUGAAAACCCCAGGCUCAACCUGGGGACGCCACCCGAUACUGCGAUGACUAGAGUCCGGUAGGGGAGUGUGGAAUUCCUGGUGUAGCGGUGAAAUGCGCAGAUAUCAGGAGGAACACCAACGGCGAAGGCAGCACUCUGGGCCGGAACUGACGCUGAGGAGCGAAAGCGUGGGUAGCGAACAGGAUUAGAUACCCUGGUAGUCCACGCCGUAAACGUUGGGCACUAGGUGUGGGAUCUUUCCAACGGAUUCCGUGCCGUAGCUAACGCAUUAAGUGCCCCGCCUGGGGAGUACGGCCGCAAGGCUA